UACGUAGGGGGCUAGCGUUGCUCGGAAUCACUGGGCGUAAAGGGCGCGUAGGCGGCUUUAUAAGUCGGGGGUGAAAGCCUGUGGCUCAACCACAGAAUUGCCUUCGAUACUGUAGAGCUUGAGACCGGAAGAGGUAAGUGGAACUGCGAGUGUAGAGGUGAAAUUCGUAGAUAUUCGCAAGAACACCAGUGGCGAAGGCGGAUUACUGGUCCGGUUCUGACGCUGAGGCGCGAAAGCGUGGGGAGCAAACAGG
Molecule: ribosomal RNA, 253 nt
Filed under: uncultured bacterium
Lineage: Bacteria
Description: partial 16S ribosomal RNA
Rfam family: Bacterial small subunit ribosomal RNA
Source: RNAcentral